GGGGUGUAAAAUGUCCAAAAUAAAACAAAACAAAACAAAGCUACCAUAGCCAGCCGCACACCACAACUCGAUUCUGAUCUAUACGAUCAAGAAUAACGAAAGUACCAGGGGGAGAAGGCGGAGCAGUGAAUCCCUACCCCGACAUGUGCUGGUUCUAAAAUGUAAACAACAGUGUUAAUUCUCUACCACCUUUUUGUUAUGGCGAGGUAAUUUUUACGCACACUUUUGUUUUCGAUAUUUUAUCAAAAUUAAACACUCAAUCAUGCAGCAAUAUAACGAUGUGGUAUGCUUGAGAUACCUGCUUGAUUAAAAAGACUCGAAAAAGAAUUUAUUUGCAGUAACUAACUGAACAUAAAAAUGUUUGUAUUAACGAUUACGCCCUAACAGUGGCUCUAAGCUUAGAUGCAGAGUACACGAGCUUUGUUCGCCAGUGACAGGCGUAUGGGGCCCUUGGAAAGAACUCGAGAACCAAAACAUCACUCCACGAGAGUACAUUUCGGAGAGAAGGCACCGCCACAGGGGCUUUAUUUACCACUCACAGAUUGCUCUCUCGUCGCCGCGGGCUCAGAGUGGGCAACAACUGGUGUAGAGCGCUAUUGGGCGAAAGCUCUUAGGUCGGACGACACGCCGGGUGCUACGGACUGAGAGCCACAAACCCCAAACACUUCACUUCGAAGCGCAAGCAGAAGUUCCACGAACACGGGCGAGCAGCCGAGUAACCAUUGCCGUAGUGGUCGAAUUGAAAACCGGACCGUCUGUCUCAUCUAGAGGAACGGCGCUAGCUGCACUCGUCGUCGCUUUAGAACUGGGUACCAGCGUCGUGAACCGAAUCACCAUCUGUUCGCCCAUGAGCACGU
Long non-coding RNA from Armigeres subalbatus, 857 nucleotides. RefSeq lists it as uncharacterized. NCBI's taxonomy places the organism in Eukaryota, Metazoa, Arthropoda, Insecta, Diptera, Culicidae. The record is from RefSeq and is a predicted model, not a curated record. The transcript has 3 exons.